GGCGGGGCGGGCAGGGGCUCUGGGGCCAGGCCGGGCCUCAUGCAGCUGCCGUUGAGCUCCUUGCUCUUGGCAUGUGGAGCGGCAUUGCCCAGGGACUGCAGGGAGCACGCUGAGCGCUGGUAGUCACCCUCCAGAUCCUUCCACCUAAGCAGAGUCUGGCCUGGAAGGAACUUGCAGAUCUUGGACUCAAGCCAGACUGAAAAGCAAGUUCAUCUGGGACCCUUCCCUCCAGGAAGAUCGCAACCCCCUAAGGUAGAAAAUUCCUGAAGAUUUUUAACUCCCAGAGCCAGUGGACCCAAUCUCCAUCCAUCUAUGUCCCAUCUGCAGGUACCAUCACCUCCAGUCUUGGCACCUAGCAACUAGCAGCCCCUGUGGAGCCUCCAAAUGGACCAUGGUUGUUUAGAUUUCCCAGGCAAGACCGGUUGGUGCUAUGACCAUUUGGCUUGGGUCUCCCCCAUUCUUUCCAUAAUAGUCUGUUUUCUUUUCUUUCUCAGAAAAAAAAGUAAAAAGAAAAAAAUAUAAAAGAGUGUGCAACCACUGGAAUUUUCUACUGAGAUGGGGGAGAUUAUUUCAGGAUGAAAAAAACUCACAAAACAAUUUGAACAGGAUUCUUCUUUGGGUUUGAAAGGGGGGCUGUUUACUGAGGUUCUAAAAGCAAAAAUAAAAUAAAAUAAAAUAAAACAAAAUUACAGUCACUAUUUUACUACAGCCUUUAAAAGUGCACCAGAAAAAUAAAGCUUAACCAUGUCAGGGGAGUUUGCAUUUGUUCCCAAAUUUCUGACUGUGUCUCUCCUUUCUCUGUGUCUCCUCCAGCCCUCCGUGGGUGGAUACUUUCCUACAGCCUCCAGAUUGGUCAUAUGCUCUUGGAAAAACUUAAAAUAUCAUUCAUCCUAGAUGGUCAACUCCAAAGAAAAUUUAGUAAAAAGAAAAGGAAAGGGAUACAGGUGGAGUGAGUCCCUCCCGCACAUAAAUGCUGCUCUUAAAGAUAGAUUCAUACUUAAAGGGAGCUGGUGUAGCCCUGAGAUCCGAUUGGUUUCCGAGAAAUUUUUGUUUCUGGAAAUACACAUGGGUCUGCUAAGCAGCAGGUCCUUCCAGGGAGGACUGGAGUCCAAUUGACCAGGCUGACCCAAUCCCUUUAUUAUUAUUACCAUUUGCCUCUGAUGAUUUAACCAAAAUUAGCUUCGGAGCAGCCCUGGCUGAAAGGAAGAAUUAAUUAAGCGGCAUCAGUCGAGUUUGUUAUUAAUAGAAAAGAGAAUGAAAUAAAAACGUUGAAGGGGGUUAGCUGGCUGGGCCCUGGCUUUAUUUAGCCUAAAUGAUUGUUACAGCAAUAAUGAUGAUGGUGGUGGUAAUAAUAAUAAUAAAUAAAAAACCUAGUAAUUUGACUAGACGCCUGGGGCUGAAAUUUCUGUUGCUCCCCCAGCAAUAAGCCCCAAACCAUUGCAGGACAGAGGCCAGGCGAGUGUGCGAAGCUAAGGAGCCAGAGACGUGAUAGGAAAGAAUGGAGACUCCGCUGGCGGUUGAGACUGGGCCAGGAGGGUUUGUGGAUUCGGAGAGCUUCCAGCUGCCGCUGCUGGCGGGCUGUCUGACCGCUGCUACCUCGGUGGCUGGGGAGAAGCUACCAGCCUCCUGCUCAGGCUCAAGGAAGCGAGAAGAAACCGAUCGGGACGCCGAACUGGUUAGCUGCGGCAGGUUCCAAGCACACCGGGCCGGGCCGGGCCAGGCCCCGCGGCGGCAAGUUUAGCGCUGGAGGCCUCACUACUGGACCAUUAUGCUAAUCUGAGAAGUAGUCUUCGGUGACUCAGUCCGAGGCUAGCCUGGCUGGGCCAGAGACGCUGGGCGCCCCUCCUGUGCUCCUUCACGGUAGACACAUCCAACCAGGACCCUGUGCUGAUUUCCUGAUUGGGGCACUCGGUUUUUCCUUCUCCCAUCUGGAUACACCAGGACGGGCGAUGGGACUGGGAAACAAAGGAUCACUUCAAAUUGGCUGGAGUGACUGACUUUCUGGGGCCUGUUAUACAGAAGAAACCUUCAGCAACAGGAGUCAUGUGCAGAACCCUAGGGACAUCUAGAAGCUCAGCCCUGGAAAACUCAACCCCUAUCCAGUGUGGAGACAAAGGUUUGGAGAAGUAGGUUAUCUGACCGGAGCCUGGGAUUUCUAAAGAUGGAGUUGUUGCCUAGCUGUCUCCACUUCCUGCCUUGGACUCCAUAUCCCAAGCCAUACUUCCCUAGACUCCCCAGAACUCUCCUCAACACUUCCACCCUCUUUAUAGCCUCAGUCCCACAAGAAAUUGCCCUUCACACAGCUGUGCAUCCACGAAGCCUCUGCUUUCAAGCUUUAUGCCUCUGAAGUUGGAAGAAGAGAAAGAAAACACCACAAAAACAAGUAGGGAGCUUCCUCUUGCUGGCCUCUGUCCUAGUCACCCUGGAAAGACAGUCAGCAUGGUUCUAUGGCCAACUAUGUGUGUCCUCUCCCAGAAACAGAAGGUCUAAACAUCCAGAGGUCAAGGGUGAAUCUAUGGGGAAGCUGCACCUGUUUCCAUAGAUUCUAAAUUAUAAACCCAUGAUUCAGUUCUUGGGCUAGGGUAAGAGGAGGAACCCCAGGACUCCAAAACACUGAAUCCUGGACAAUCGCAGCCUUGGCUUAGCAUCUAACAGGAAAAGAGUCUUGUUUGGUGGAGCUAAGGCCCAUCUUCCUUAAACCCUACACCAAUCCUAGCUCAACCCAAUUUGCUAGCCUUAUAUUCCCAUUGCUUUUGACCUAGCCUUCCCUUCCAUUGAGAACAGGGACUCCUUGAAAAGCAGUCCAGGGGACUUACUUUCAAAGGACAAGCAGAGGCAAACUCUGAAUUUUGCAAACAAAUCCUACAGUAACUUUUACAGCCAGAUGCCCACAGAAAGGGAAGUUGCCCCAAGAGCAGAAUGAGAGAGGAGUUGGGUGUCCAGUUGGGUGUCCAGAAUGAGAGAGGAGUUGGGUGUCCAGCCCAACUCUGCCAUUGCAGCAGAUAGGGAAAGUGAGGCCCAGAGUGGUAAAUAAAUUGAUCUCGAGUUAUGUUUGCCACAGUCUUGACCACAAGGAGACUCAGGCUUUAGUCAUUGCAGCUUGGCCAUGUGACUUGAGGCAGAGCAUGCCUUGGGCCCCAGUGUGCCUUUCUUUAGAUCCUCGGUAUUUGUAUGGAGGAGGAGGAUUAGACUAAAUGAGCUCCAAGGUUCCUUUUCAGCCAAACAUUAUUGAUUCUCUGUGUCCUGUAAAUAUGUAAAUAUGAGUAGCAACAAACAAUAAUAAACUGAGUUCAGACAAUAAA
Mesocricetus auratus (golden hamster) is the source of this 3302-nucleotide long non-coding RNA. RefSeq lists it as uncharacterized. Lineage: Eukaryota; Metazoa; Chordata; Mammalia; Rodentia; Cricetidae. The record is from RefSeq and is a predicted model, not a curated record. The transcript is spliced from 7 exons.